RNAcentral lists this long non-coding RNA (620 nucleotides) under Triticum aestivum (bread wheat). Its description in RNAcentral is "long non-coding RNA (TAES_LNC012933)". The record is from RNAcentral. Lineage: Eukaryota; Viridiplantae; Streptophyta; Magnoliopsida; Poales; Poaceae.
UCCGCCUCGACGUCCCCCUGACCCCACCGGCGCUGGCGUGCGUGCCGGAAUCGCCGCUGCCUCUGGCUCCGCAGACGACUAUGAGAGGGAGGCUACAUCUUCCCAGGUAUGUGUGUGCAAAAUAUAUAUUUGUGCAAGCUCAUGUAUGUGCUGUUUUUGCUUUUUGAAAGUCAAAUUUAUGUGUGCCCAAGCUCAUAUGUGCUGUUUUUGUAUCCAAAUGUCAAAUAUAUGUUUGUGCAAGCUCAUGUGUGUGCUUUUUUUGGUGUCCAAAUCUCAAAUAUAUGUUUGUGCAAGCUCAUGUGUGUGCUGUUUUUGCUAUCCAAAAGUCAAAUAUAUGUGUGUCCAAGCUCAUGUGUGUGUUGUUGUUGUGUGCUAGGCAAUGGAGCAUGAUAAGCAAGUGGAGGAGGAUCAUGAAGAUGUGGAAGAGGAUGAGGAGGAGGACGAGGAAGAGCAAGAUACUUUGUUUGAGAUGCCGUCUGGGGUUGGUGACAAAUCAGAUUUAGAUGAAUUUCCGGAUAGUGAAAAUUUCUUUGUUUCGCUGUCAAUAUUUGAUGUUUUGCUGUGUAAAGUUCAAAGGAUGUGCUGUCCAAAAUUCAAUAGAAAUGCUACCCAAUUCUUUC